UGGGGAAUCUUGGACAAUGGGGGCAACCCUGAUCCAGCCAUGCCGCGUGAGUGAUGAAGGCCUUAGGGUCGUAAAGCUCUUUCGCCUGUGAAGAUAAUGACGGUAGCAGGUAAAGAAACCCCGGCUAACUCCGUGCCAGCAGCCGCGGUAAUACGGAGGGGGUUAGCGUUGUUCGGAAUUACUGGGCGUAAAGCGCACGUAGGCGGACCAGAAAGUUGGGGGUGAAAUCCCGGGGGGCUCAACCCCGGAACUGCCUCCAAAACUAUUGGUCUAGAGUUCGAGAGAGGUGAGUGGAAUUCCAAGUGUAGAGGUGAAAUUCGUAGAUAUUUGGAGGAACACCAGUGGCGAAGGCGGCUCACUGGCUCGAUACUGACGCUGAGGUGCGAAAGUGUGGGGAGCAAAACAGGAUUAGAUACCCUGGUAGUCCACACCGUAAAACGAUGAAUGCCAGUCGUCGGGGUAGCAUGCUAUUCGGUGACACACCUAACGGAUUAAGCAUUCCGCCUGGGGAGUAC
Molecule: ribosomal RNA, 515 nt
Filed under: uncultured bacterium
Lineage: Bacteria
Description: bacterial SSU rRNA
Rfam family: Bacterial small subunit ribosomal RNA
Source: RNAcentral